RNAcentral lists this transfer RNA (74 nucleotides) under Rubripirellula sp. RNAcentral describes it as "tRNA-Pro". It matches the Rfam family "tRNA". Rfam says of the family: Transfer RNA (tRNA) molecules are approximately 80 nucleotides in length. The record is from RNAcentral. Lineage: Bacteria; Pseudomonadati; Planctomycetota; Planctomycetia; Pirellulales; Pirellulaceae.
CGGGGCGUGGCUCAGCCUGGUAGAGCGCUGCGUUCGGGACGCAGAGGUCGUGUGUUCGAAUCACAUCGCCCCGA